This 777-nucleotide ribosomal RNA is filed under the name Escherichia coli. RNAcentral describes it as "partial 23S ribosomal RNA". It matches the Rfam family "Bacterial large subunit ribosomal RNA", at positions 413 to 1191 of the family's 2925-position model. Lineage: Bacteria; Pseudomonadati; Pseudomonadota; Gammaproteobacteria; Enterobacterales; Enterobacteriaceae. The record is from RNAcentral.
UAGGGCGGGACACGUGGUAUCCUGUCUGAAUAUGGGGGGACCAUCCUCCAAGGCUAAAUACUCCUGACUGACCGAUAGUGAACCAGUACCGUGAGGGAAAGGCGAAAAGAACCCCGGCGAGGGGAGUGAAAAAGAACCUGAAACCGUGUACGUACAAGCAGUGGGAGCACGCUUAGGCGUGUGACUGCGUACCUUUUGUAUAAUGGGUCAGCGACUUAUAUUCUGUAGCAAGGUUAACCGAAUAGGGGAGCCGAAGGGAAACCGAGUCUUAACUGGGCGUUAAGUUGCAGGGUAUAGACCCGAAACCCGGUGAUCUAGCCAUGGGCAGGUUGAAGGUUGGGUAACACUAACUGGAGGACCGAACCGACUAAUGUUGAAAAAUUAGCGGAUGACUUGUGGCUGGGGGUGAAAGGCCAAUCAAACCGGGAGAUAGCUGGUUCUCCCCGAAAGCUAUUUAGGUAGCGCCUCGUGAAUUCAUCUCCGGGGGUAGAGCACUGUUUCGGCAAGGGGGUCAUCCCGACUUACCAACCCGAUGCAAACUGCGAAUACCGGAGAAUGUUAUCACGGGAGACACACGGCGGGUGCUAACGUCCGUCGUGAAGAGGGAAACAACCCAGACCGCCAGCUAAGGUCCCAAAGUCAUGGUUAAGUGGGAAACGAUGUGGGAAGGCCCAGACAGCCAGGAUGUUGGCUUAGAAGCAGCCAUCAUUUAAAGAAAGCGUAAUAGCUCACUGGUCGAGUCGGCCUGCGCGGAAGAUGUAACGGGGCUAAACCAUG